AUUGAACGCUAGCGGGAUGCCUUACACAUGCAAGUCGAACGAGCGAGAGAGAGCUUGCUUUCUCAAGCGAGUGGCGAACGGGUGAGUAACGCGUGAGGAACCUGCCUCAAAGAGGGGGACAACAGUUGGAAACGACUGCCAAUACCGCAUAAGCCCACAGCUCGGCAUCGAGCAGAGGGAAAAGGAGUGAUUCGCUUCAGGAUGGCCUCGCGUCCAAUUAGGUAGAUGGUGAGGUAACGGCCCACCAUGCCGACGAUUGGUAGCCGGACUGAGAGGUUGAACGGCCACAUUGGGACUGAGACACGGCCCAG
RNAcentral lists this ribosomal RNA (311 nucleotides) under uncultured bacterium. RNAcentral's name for it is "bacterial SSU rRNA". It matches the Rfam family "Bacterial small subunit ribosomal RNA", at positions 30 to 334 of the family's 1533-position model. The record is from RNAcentral.